Molecule: ribosomal RNA, 468 nt
Filed under: uncultured bacterium
Lineage: Bacteria
Description: partial 16S ribosomal RNA
Rfam family: Bacterial small subunit ribosomal RNA
Source: RNAcentral
GACGAACGCUGGCGGCGUGCUUAAUACAUGCAAGUCGAACGGAAAGGCCCUGCUUUUGUGGGUUUCUCGAGUGGCGAACGGGUGAGUAACACGUGAGUAACCUGCCCCUGACUUUGGGAUAACUUCAGGAAACUGGGGCUAAUAUAGGAUAGGAUAUCCUGCACCACGGUGUGGGAUGGUAAGUUUCGGCGGUUGGGUCUGGACUCGCGGCUUAUCAGCUUGUUGGUCGAGUAGGUGCUUACCAAGGCUGUGACGGGUAGGCGGCAUGAGAGGGUGAACGGCCACAUUGGUCCUGAGAUACGGCGCAGUCUGCUACCGGACGCAGCGGUGGAGAGUAUUGCGCAAUGGGCGGAAGCGAGUGGUGAAGACGUCGCGUGCGGGAAGACGUCUUACUAGUUGUGAACCGAUGUCGACUGAAACGAAGCCUGAGUGACGGUACUGGGUAAAAAAGCAACGGCUAACUACGUG